UGAUCCUGGCUCAGGAUGAACGCUAGCGGCAGGCCUAACACAUGCAAGUCGAGGGGUAACAGGAAAGCUUGCUUUUGCUGACGACCGGCGCACGGGUGCGUAACGCGUAUGCAACCUACCUCAUACAGGAGGAUAGCCCUUGGAAACGAGGAUUAAUACUCCAUGGCAUCAUGAAUUCGCAUGUUUUUAUGAUUAAAGUAUUACGGUAUGAGAUGGGCAUGCGUCCCAUUAGCUAGUUGGUGAGGUAACGGCUCACCAAGGCGACGAUGGGUAGGGGGCCUGAGAGGGUGGUCCCCCACACUGGUACUGAGACACGGACCAGACUCCUACGGGGGGCAGCAGUGAGGAAUAUUGGUCAAUGGAGGCAACUCUGAACCAGCCAUGCCGCGUGAAGGAUGACGGCCCUAUGGGUUGUAAACUUCUUUUAUAGAGGAAGAAACUUGUCUACGUGUAGACAACUGACGGUACUCUACGAAUAAGGAUCGGCUAACUCCGUGCCAGCAGCCGCGGUAAUACGGAGGAUCCAAGCGUUAUCCGGAUUCAUUGGGUUUAAAGGGUCCGUAGGCGGGUCUUUAAGUCAGUGGUGAAAGCCGACAGCUCAACUGUCGAACUGCCAUUGAUACUGGAGACCUUGAGUACAAAUGAAGUAGGCGGAAUGAGUCAUGUAGCGGUGAAAUGCAUAGAUAUGACUCAGAACACCGAUUGCGAAGGCAGCUUACUAACAUGUAACUGACGCUGAGGGACGAAAGCGUGGGGAGCGAACAGGAUUAGAUACCCUGGUAGU
This 784-nucleotide ribosomal RNA is filed under the name uncultured marine bacterium. RNAcentral's name for it is "bacterial SSU rRNA". It matches the Rfam family "Bacterial small subunit ribosomal RNA", at positions 14 to 794 of the family's 1533-position model. The record is from RNAcentral.